Molecule: long non-coding RNA, 775 nt
Organism: Gossypium raimondii (Peruvian cotton)
Lineage: Eukaryota; Viridiplantae; Streptophyta; Magnoliopsida; Malvales; Malvaceae
Exons: 2
Source: RefSeq, a predicted model, not a curated record
GAAAAAGAAGAAAAAAGAGAAGAAAAGGAAAAAGUGAAAGAAAAAAGAAAUAAAAUAAUAAAAUAAAAGGAGUAAUCGGGUCGACCCGACCCGACCCGACCCGGAUCCGACCCAAACAGCAGCACCCAGCAGCAUCAGUAGUAGCCCACCAGUAGCCUCAAACCCCCCAAAAAAAAAGAAAGAAGAAAAAAGCAGAAAAAAGAAGCAGGCCAACUACCCAGCCCAAGUGCAGCCCAGCAGCAGAUCAAGCAGGCCAACCCAGGAGCCAGGCCCAACAGCGCCUAGCAGGCCAACCCAGUCCAGCAGUGCAGCCCCCAGGCCCAGUACAAACAGCCCAGCCCAGUCCAGAAAAAUGGGGAAGAAAAAGAAAAAGAAAAAAGAAAAAGAAAAAAAAAGAAGAAAAAACAAAAAAAAGGCCCGAAUUGCGUAGCCCGUUGGAUCAAGCCCAUAACUUUUGGCUUUUGUUGCGACACUCCAAGUCUGGAAUCACGUCAUUCUUAUAGAACGCAUUUAAGAGCUAGAACUAUGGAUGCUGAGCUCAACGAGAGUGAUACAAUUGAGGAUGUUUCAAUGAUACACCCCUGUCUUCUAGGAUAUGUUUUGAACAAUUGGACUGCUGUGGACCUUCUUGUAAUUUCUAAGUCCUCUCCAGAGUAAUGCCCAAUGUUACUUCUCCAUUUAUUUUGUGUUCCCCUAAAUAGUGGGAUUCCUUUUGUAAGAGCUUAUGUUUGCUAUUUAUCAUUUCAAUGGACAUUAAUGAAGAUGUAUUUUGUUA